RNAcentral lists this ribosomal RNA (760 nucleotides) under uncultured archaeon. RNAcentral's name for it is "bacterial SSU rRNA". It matches the Rfam family "Archaeal small subunit ribosomal RNA", at positions 113 to 879 of the family's 1478-position model. The record is from RNAcentral.
CCUAGGUCGGGUGAGCUACGCGAAAGUGUGGGUAAACACCGAUAGGCAAUAGGCACUGGAAGGUCCUUUUGCUCAAAUUCGUGCCUUAGGAUGAGUCGGCGGCCGAUUAGGUAGUUGGCGGGGUAAAGGCCCACCAUGCCUUGGAUCGGUACGGGGCAUGGAAGUGCUAGCCCGGAGAGGGACACUGAGAUACUGGUCCCAGCCCUACGGGGUGCAGCAGGCGCGAAAACUCUCCAAUGUGCGAAAGCGUGAGAGGGGAACUCCUAGUGCUUACGGUUCAUCCGUAGGCUUUUGCCAAGUGUAAAUAGCUUGGCGAAUAAGUGGUGGGUAAGACUGGUGCCAGCCGCCGCGGUAACACCAGCGCCACGAGUGGCCAUCGCGAUUAUUGGGCCUAAAGCGUCCGUAGUCGGUUGUGUACAUCUUCUGUGAAAUUGUUGCGCUUAACGUAACGGCAUGCGGAAGACACGGCACGACUUGAGAGCGGGAGGCGUCAGGGGUAUUCCACGGGGACCGGUAAAAUGGUAUAAUCCGUGGAGGACCACCUGUGGCGAAGGCGCCUGACGAGAACGCAUCUGACGAUGAGGGACGAAAGCCAGGGGAGCAAACCGGAUUAGAUACCCGAGUAGUCCUGGCCGUAAACGCUGUCAGCUAGGUGUUGCGACGACCUGAGUCGUCGCAGUAUCGGAGCGAAGGUAUUAAGCUGACCGCCUGGGAAGUACGGCCGCAAGGCUGAAACUUAAAGGAAUUGGCGGGGGAGCAC